Molecule: transfer RNA, 98 nt
Filed under: Streptomyces filamentosus
Lineage: Bacteria; Bacillati; Actinomycetota; Actinomycetes; Kitasatosporales; Streptomycetaceae
Description: tRNA-Ser
Source: RNAcentral
GCGCCGCCGUGAGCGGCGGCAUCGCCCUGGGCCCGCUGCUGGCGGGCCUGAUCGGCCUGCUGGACUGGCGCCUGGCGUACGGCGCGCUGGGCGCCGCG